CGUGAAACCGUCCAGGGGUAAACCUGCGAAACUCGAAUGAACGAACGGAGAGAUUCACCGUCAUUCCUCGGCGCACGGGCGUUGGCGCGAUGCCUCCGAUCUCGGUCGGCGGGCACGCGUCGCGUACGUCGCGCUCCGGGGACGGCGUGCACUUCUCUCUCAGUAAUACAUCGCGACCCGUUCGGUGUCGGUGUAAGUGCCCUCCGGGAGUCUUCGCUUCGUUAUUGUUGUGUAGACCGUGAGGUGUCACCGACCGGCCGCCGGACGGUAGUUGGUGCGAAACGCGCACGCGCUCGCGCGCGUCCGGCCCGACGCAAGGCAACGUCGUAUCCCGUAUCCUGCCCGAGUGCGGAUGUGGGUGCGGCGCGUCUGUAGUCGCAGCCGUGCUGUCUCGGACUGUGCGCGUAUCCGUCUGCGA
Molecule: ribosomal RNA, 418 nt
Filed under: Eucyclodes difficta
Lineage: Eukaryota; Metazoa; Arthropoda; Insecta; Lepidoptera; Geometridae
Description: eukaryotic LSU rRNA
Source: RNAcentral